This 254-nucleotide ribosomal RNA is filed under the name uncultured bacterium. RNAcentral's name for it is "partial 16S ribosomal RNA". It matches the Rfam family "Bacterial small subunit ribosomal RNA", at positions 524 to 776 of the family's 1533-position model. The record is from RNAcentral.
GACGUAGGAGACGAGCGUUGUCCGGAUUUACUGGGCGUAAAGCGCGCGCAGGCGGCCCCGCAGGUCGGUUGUGAAAGCCCCCGGCUCAACCGGGCGGAGGCGAGCGAAACCGCGGGGCUGGAGGCUGGCAGAGGGUGGUGGAAUUCCCGGUGUAGUGGUGAAAUGCGUAGAGAUCCGGAAGAACACCGGUGGCGAAGGCGGCCUGCUGGGCUAUGGCUGACACUGAGGCGCGGACAGCGUGGGGAGCAAACAGG